This 571-nucleotide long non-coding RNA is filed under the name Parus major (Great Tit). RNAcentral's name for it is "lncRNA (ENSPMJG00000015880.1)". Lineage: Eukaryota; Metazoa; Chordata; Aves; Passeriformes; Paridae. The record is from RNAcentral.
AGAAACACAAGAUUUGUAACCUUGACUAUUUUAGAUAUUUCCUUCUUGGCAGGGGUUCAGAAAUACAACCUGUUUGUUACACUGUUCUUGUUGACAGAUGAGGUUCUCAGAAGUCUCGUCAGUAAGGAUUUGGUGCUUCACAAAAAAAUGCCUGUUCAGCUGUCCUAUUUCUUGAGCAGUGAAUUGGAGCACGGGGAUACAGACUCUCACCUGUAAUUAGGAAGCUCCAAGGUCUCUGAUCUUAGCACUAGACUGCCUCUGGCCACCCAAAUUUAUUGCACUUCAACUCAUCCAUGUGCUUCAUGCUCUGGUAACACUUCACUGCCCAUACUGGUCCCUGUAUGCCACCAAACUUUAAGGAUGAAAGCCCACUGGAUAAAGCUGGUCAGCCAUGGAAUGGUGGAGCCAAAGAAAAGCAGUAGGAAUGCAUGUGAAGUACAUUUGUGUGGAAGAAAUAGCAGAGACUGAUGUUUCUGACCCUACAGCCCUAAGACAGAAGAACUUGCAUAAUGGGGAAGCACUGCUCUGGUUUUCACGUCCACACAGAGCAAGUCAGCAUACUCUAUGGUGA